Non-coding RNA from Heterocephalus glaber (naked mole-rat), 605 nucleotides. Lineage: Eukaryota; Metazoa; Chordata; Mammalia; Rodentia; Bathyergidae. The record is from RefSeq and is a predicted model, not a curated record.
UACUAUUGGGAGGUAGUGGAAACUUUCAGAGAGGUGGGGCCUACUGGGAGGUCUUUGGGUUACUGGGACCUUAAAGGGGCCCCAUUGCCCUUAAAGGGGCCUCUCCAUUUACUCCCUGUCCAUGCAGUUUUGCUUGGCCAUGCCCUGCACCCUCCCAAUUACCAUCUGGCAUUCCCACCAGAGGCCUAAAAGCAAUGGAUCUGCUUGAUCACAGACUGGACCUUCUAAAACUGUUUGGUUAUCUACAUUUUACAAAUGAAGAAAUUAAAGCUCAAAUGCAAUAAGGGAUUCACAUAAGCUGAUAUGGGUCCUGCUUCAAGCUGACGAGAGUUGUGUAGAUUCACAUACAAAAGCAAGUGUGUCCACUGAUCAACAGUGAGAGAAGCAUCCAACAAGUCAGAUAUCCCUUCUCCUUCUCCCUUGCCCCAUGCUCUGCAAGAAUCUGAUCACAGAAGAAACCAAAUUCCAGCUUCCAGUGAUGCCAUGUAAGAUAUUAAGCCCUUUACAUAAUAUUAGAAACUAUGUGAUAAGAAGCUGAAAGAAAUUAUGAGAAUUAAGACUUCUGUUUCAUGUCACACAUUCAUGAAAUUUGAACUAUAAUGUAC